UAGACUUGGAUCCUGAAGACGAAUGGACCAAGGUGAUAUGUCUUCUUGGAGCAGAAUGACGACCAGAUGGAGCCAUAUGACCACAUGACAGCGCCGGACUGCCCAAUCAACAAUGUCCUUCAUCGUAUCAUCUAUAUACUAGACUACAGAAGCCUCUCUUUAAUGGAGAUCUGAUGAAUAAUGGAACCAGGUACAGCACAGAGUAACUAACAACCCAACCAAAGAUUGCAGGUGAACUGCAUGAUGAACAACGAUUAGCAUUAUCUACACUGGAAGAUGUAUCAACCAUAGUCAAGACACACUGAAAUGUCUUUACAAAUUGUGACUUUUUGUGGUAACUCUAAAGUCUACGAGUAUCAAUUCUGACAGACUUACAUGUAUAGGAAGAAUUUAAUCUGGACACAGAAAGACAAUCAGUGAUUAAUAAUCUUUGCUUUAUUAUAUUUCAAACAAUGCAUUGAAUGCACACACAUACAAAAAAUUAGUAAACAAGCAUUUAUCACAAUUUGAUUGUCAAUGGUUACAAAAAACAAUAAA
Molecule: long non-coding RNA, 537 nt
Organism: Strongylocentrotus purpuratus (purple sea urchin)
Lineage: Eukaryota; Metazoa; Echinodermata; Echinoidea; Camarodonta; Strongylocentrotidae
Exons: 3
Source: RefSeq, a predicted model, not a curated record